CUGGCUUUAGAGGUGCUUGAAGGGUAGAAAAUCAUGUCAGGAGCCAAUUGAAGGCCUUAACAACACACUCAGGCAUGGAACUCCAACAAUCCCCAAACAUAUUGUAGGUAAAAGGUUGUAAAUUGUUUAAUUUUAUUAAUUAAAUUGCUUUGUUAAGCUCCUACAAAUUUUAUGUAAGCCAAAAAGGUCAAAGACAAUAAUAAAGAGGCUAACCCUCUAAAGACCCACUCCUUGCCCACAUGGGAGUUGAGCCAUGACCAUCUAGUGCUCCUUGCCCACAGGUGAGUCAAGCCGAGGCUGUUUAAGCAUUCCU
RNAcentral lists this long non-coding RNA (313 nucleotides) under Elaeis guineensis (African oil palm). RNAcentral's name for it is "long non-coding RNA (EGUI_LNC009886)". Lineage: Eukaryota; Viridiplantae; Streptophyta; Magnoliopsida; Arecales; Arecaceae. The record is from RNAcentral.